Molecule: long non-coding RNA, 865 nt
Filed under: Marmota monax (woodchuck)
Lineage: Eukaryota; Metazoa; Chordata; Mammalia; Rodentia; Sciuridae
Source: RNAcentral
GCUUGUUAAUGGUUUGAUGUUGUACCUGACAUAUAGAAAGUGCUCAGUAAGUCUGCAUGGUGGUACAGUGCGAGGAUCCCUGGCUUUGGGGUCAGGAAGACCUUAGUUCCAGGCACAGAUUGUCCAUUAUGAACAGUAUGACAUCGUGCAAAUUCAUUGUCUCUUGAGAUUACCCAUCUGAAAAGUUGGAAAUGUCUUCCCAGACUACCUUAGGAAAUAGUUAUGGAAUUAUUCAAAUGAGUUUAUAAACUAAGAAAGGCAUUGUGAGAGGUGAGGGCUCCCUGCCAUUCUUAAGAGCAAAGCCACACACCUGAUUUAAAGUAAAACCAUCCUAAACCUUUUCUGAGUACCACCUAACCUUCUUCCUUCAGGUGUUGACUUUAACAGAAGUUCUCCCCACAAAGGUGGCAGUAAUAACUGGGCCCUAGUGGUGUUUUCUGCUCAUGAGACUUAAUGGGAAGAGGGGACUUACAUUUACUGGGACUGUUGUGUUUAGGGCCUUGUCCCAAAUGCCUGUGCACAUUACAUUGAAUCUUCUCAUGGUCAUUUCACUCCAGACCCCAAUAUCCCACUUUCUACUACCCAUCUAAAACUGAAUUCAUGCCAGGUGUGGUGGCACAUGCCUGAAAUCCCAGAGACUCAGGAGGAUGAGGUGAAGGAUCACAAGUUUGAAGAUUUAGCAAGACCCUUAGCAAUGGAGACUCUGUCUCAAAGAAUUUUUUAAAAUGGGCUGGAGAUGAAGUUCUGUGGUAAAGUGGCCCUGGUUCUGGUUGAAUCCCCAGUACCACAAAUAAUAAUACUAAUAAAAUUAAAAAUAAAACUGAACUCAUAGCCAGGCAUGGUGACACAUGCUUGUAAUCCUGAC